Molecule: ribosomal RNA, 446 nt
Filed under: uncultured bacterium
Lineage: Bacteria
Description: partial 16S ribosomal RNA
Rfam family: Bacterial small subunit ribosomal RNA
Source: RNAcentral
AGGGAAUCUUCCACAAUGGACGAAAGUCUGAUGGAGCAACGCCGCGUGAGUGAAGAAGGUUUUUCGGAUCGUAAAGCUCUGUUGUUGGUGAAGAAGGAUAGAGGCAGUAACUGGCCUUUAUUUGACGGUAAUCAACCAGAAAGUCACGGCUAACUACGUGCCAGCAGCCGCGGUAAUACGUAGGUGGCAAGCGUUGUCCGGAUUUAUUGGGCGUAAAGCGAGCGCAGGCGGAAUGAUAAGUCUGAUGUGAAAGCCCACGGCUCAACCGUGGAACUGCAUCGGAAACUGUCAUUCUUGAGUGCAGAAGAGGAGAGUGGAACUCCAUGUGUAGCGGUGGAAUGCGUAGAUAUAUGGAAGAACACCAGUGGCGAAGGCGGCUCUCUGGUCUGCAACUGACGCUGAGGCUCGAAAGCAUGGGUAGCGAACAGGAUUAGAUACCCUGGUAG